UACAGAGGUCUCAAGCGUUGUUCGGAUUUAUUGGGCGUAAAGAGCUCGUAGGCGGUCUGUUACGUCUGCUGUGAAAACCCGGGGCUUAACCCUGGGCUUGCAGUGGAUACGGGUAGACUAGAGGCAGGUAGGGGAGAAUGGAAUUCCCGGUGUAGCGGUGAAAUGCGCAGAUAUCAGGAGGAACACCCGUGGCGAAAGCGGCUCUCUGGGACGGUACUGACGCUGAGACGCGAAAGCGUGGGGAGCAAACAGG
Molecule: ribosomal RNA, 253 nt
Filed under: uncultured bacterium
Lineage: Bacteria
Description: partial 16S ribosomal RNA
Rfam family: Bacterial small subunit ribosomal RNA
Source: RNAcentral